ACGAAACAUCGCGGCUG
This 17-nucleotide unclassified non-coding RNA is filed under the name Mus musculus (house mouse). RNAcentral's name for it is "oocyte_clustered_small_RNA2390". Lineage: Eukaryota; Metazoa; Chordata; Mammalia; Rodentia; Muridae. The record is from RNAcentral.